Non-coding RNA from Merluccius polli (Benguela hake), 66 nucleotides. The record is from the annotation of a GenBank genome assembly. Lineage: Eukaryota; Metazoa; Chordata; Actinopteri; Gadiformes; Merlucciidae.
UAAUCUAGUGGUUAGGAUGUUUGACUCCCAGCCAAAAGGUUCUGGGUUCAAACCCUACCAAUGUCC